Molecule: long non-coding RNA, 790 nt
Filed under: Brassica rapa (field mustard)
Lineage: Eukaryota; Viridiplantae; Streptophyta; Magnoliopsida; Brassicales; Brassicaceae
Description: long non-coding RNA (BRAP_LNC005743)
Source: RNAcentral
UUCUUUAGCUAGUUCAUUAGUGUGAACCGGCUUGUUGAUUUGGUGGUCAGGCAAUUCAUCUUUGUGUGUUGUUGGUGGUUAGCGUUAGAUCGUGGGUAUAUUAAGAGCCAUUCCGCAUCUCUUGACGAUCCUUUCAAUCCAUCUCAGUUCCAGAAGUGUCGUUUGCCUUCUCGGAUCAUAUCCAACACCCAGAUAAAGUGAUCCUUCAGUUUAGGCGUAUCACGCGUGGUGGUGGUUCUACUGCUCUCUCUCCUCCGGUUCUUCAUUGUGUGUCUUCUUCAAAGCUUUUUUUUUUUGGAAUGGUGUGUGUUUGACUUCUUGGAAUCAAGGCUUGGUGUCUCGCCUUUGGUUCCGGGCUGUGCUUCGAGGGUGGUUCAUCGUCGGCGCGUUCACAAUGAGUCUUGGGGGUCAUGUGGUCGCGGUCUCUUUGGUGGUCGUGUAAACGCGGUCUCUCUGUGGUUCUGCGCGUUCAUCUUUUGAGGUUUUAAGCUUGUCUUGUCAUCUAUGGCUGUAAAGGUUUGGCCUCCAUUGAUGCUCUUUGCCUGCUGGUCCGCCCCAUCCUCUGGUCCAGGUUGUUGCUCGUUCUAUCUCGCGAAUGGCUACUGAGCGUUUUGAUGCUGCUAUUUGACUACUAUUUGCUUCCCCAGCGAGACGUAGUUAUGUAGCGCAAAGAGGACCGAGCUAGGUUCUCUAGUCUCGGGUCAUGGAAUUGGCCAGGGAUUCCGUUCGAGUCUUAUGGGGUCUCCGUUCAGUGGGGAUAUUUUUAGAGUGUAGCCAUCCCAGUGGUCCG